RNA transcript from Phyllopteryx taeniolatus (common seadragon), 4991 nucleotides. It is a transcript of the gene named SET and MYND domain containing 3, with no coding region annotated. The transcript has 20 exons. NCBI's taxonomy places the organism in Eukaryota, Metazoa, Chordata, Actinopteri, Syngnathiformes, Syngnathidae. The record is from RefSeq and is a predicted model, not a curated record.
CACGUCAACAUACGUCGUCUCUGCUCGCGCGGGCUUCCAAACGUGUCAUGGCGUCCAUGUUUGAGCGGUUCGUGAGUCCGGGCAAAGGGAAUGGCCUGCGAGCGACGACAGCAAUCAAAAGCGGGAAGUUGCUCUUCUCUUCCGAGCCGCUGGCGAGCUGUGUGUCGACAAAAGUGGCCAAAGAUGUCUGCCAUCGCUGCUUCGCGAGGCGUGAGACAUUGCUGCGGUGCUCCCAGUGCAAGAUGGCUCGCUACUGCAACAUCACAUGCCAGAAACAAGGAUGGGCUGACCAUAAGAAGGAGUGCAAAUGUCUGCGGAUCAUCCUUCCCAGAAUUCCUACUGACUCCGUCCGACUGGCUGCAAGACUAAUUUUUGCCUUGUUAAAUCCUGAAAAUAGCAGAAGUGAGGAGCUCUACUCGUUAGACGAACAUGAAUCACACCUGAUCUGCAUGUCUGAGCAGAAGAAACAAGGUCUAUCUCAGCUGGCAUCCAUGCUGGAGUUAUACUUAAAAGAGGAAGUGCCUGAACUCGCCCUGGAGAUGACUCUGCCAGAGUCCUGCAGACAGCCUCUUGACCUGAUAGCAAAGGUGACGUGUAAUUGUUUCACCAUAAGUGACGAAGAGCUGCAAGCGAUUGGAGUUGGGCUGUAUCCCAGUUUAUCGCUGCUAAACCAUGACUGCAGGCCAAAUUGUGUGAUGGUGUUUGAAGGAACAAAGCUACACCUAAGAGCUGUUCGGGAUAUCAAACCUGCAGAGGAGCUAACAAUUAGCUACAUAGAGACUUUGUCAUUGACGGAACAGCGUCAGAAACAGCUGGAGGACCAGUACCAUUUCACAUGCCGCUGCCAGAAAUGUGACUCCCAAGACACAGACACACUCAUGCAGUCAGGUGAACAGGCAACAUGGUACAAGUUUAUGGAGGCUUUACCAAAAUUGGAAGGACUGAAGGCAGCCUCAGAUUGGCAAACGCUCCUGGAGGGUUGCACACGUCUGUUAUCAAUUGAGGGUUCUGACGUGCCCGAUGAAAACCUCUAUAAACUCAGAUUGACCGAUAUGGCUCUGGAUUCCACCAUUCACCUCGGUCACUGGGAGGAAGCGACAAGACAUGGGGAGCGGACACUUCCAGUUUACAAACAUUACUACCCUGACCCCCAUCCAGUCCAUGGCAUCCAGCUGAUGAGAGUUGCAAAGCUGCAGCAUUAUUUGGAGCGCAUUAAAGAUGCUCUGGACACCUUCAAACAGGCCUUUGAAAUCCUCAAGAUCACCCAUGGUAUUGAUCACCCCUUGGUGGCUGGUUUGUUGGUCAAGAUGGAAGAAUGUCGCUUUGAGAUUGACCAAUAAUUAAACUUGAUAAGGGAAUGAUGUGAGCCCCAACUUCUUGUUUUGUACUUCUUAUGAAGCUGUAUAUAAGGCAGGCUCUCCCCAAUGGCCACUUAGCUAUCUCAGUGCACCUCGAAUUGAUUCAUCCAUCACCUGCCCUUCCGUUUACUUAUAAGUGGAGAAGACGUGAGGACUAUUGGGUCAGUCCGUCACGAGAACUCGUUAAAAUAUCCCAGACGAGAUGCCUUUAUUUGGGAGCAGUUUCUAUAUUGUCAGAGGAAGCGGUCCGCCGCUUCGCCGUGCGUCUACCGAUGUCUGGACGACACAUCGAAGCAGGUGAUCAUCAUGAGGUGAGCUUUGCAGAAGUUCACUCUGUUCUCCAGUUUGUCUGUCACCGUCUCCAGAGCUUCCAAAUACUCCAGUGAAUCCACCUCGUAGACCUGCUGCAGCUCAACUGGACAAGAAGAGAAGAGAAAAUAUCCUCAGGCUUCAGUUUUAAAGUACUGAGGGGAGAAUCUUUCAUCCAGCAGCGAGUUGGUGUGCUGUCGAGUGACUUGAACUCCUUUAACAGAUAAGUCGAAAAUGUCACGUGGGUGUUUUAUUAUGUUGGCAUCAAGUGAGUGUCAGAUCAUUCGCAAGAUUUUCAUGCACAACAAACCAAUCAGUGAUCCUCAAUGAGUUUCAUCGAAGGAUUAAGUGCUACUUUGUAUUGAUUUGCAGCGACGCUAUCAGUGGCGGUCGCUGCUUAUGUUUGUUCGUUUUUUUUUUGGUUUCUUUCGCACCGCUUCAUCUUUGUAAUGAGGCUUUUAUGUAGUUUAACCCUGCUGUAAUGUCCCUUUUAAUGAGAUCGCACUGAGAAUCUUCUGGCUGAGUCCAAUGACGUCUUGCUUUUCCCAUCCUCAUUCACCCGAGGAAAAACGCCGCAUCCAAUUUGUGAGCCCUGACGAUGCUGCUCUCACGAUGAACCGUCCAGCAAAGUCACGUAGAGACGCAUUCAUCACACUUUUCUUCCUGCAGUAUCUAAUCAAGCUUCUCCAUUGAGUUGUCACCCAUGACGUUAGCUGGCGAGGAUGCUGAUGCUGUUAAUCAACUUUAAUGAUGAGGAAGUUCAUCAUCACCAUUUAAGUGAUCUCCACGGAACCACUAACAUACGUCUGUUCUUCAUGACACACAUACUACUCUUGGGCACAAGCCACGGUCCGCAGAGAGCUUCCACAGCAUCAGAGGGAUCUCAUUUUUCAAAGGCGCUCGACGUCAUCAAUCUCGUACACUUUGAUCUCAAAGGCCUCCGCUGUGGCCGACGGACCUCGUAGGGUUCCGGAGGCAGGCGGCCCCAGAGGUCCGUCCACCCAGCAUGCACCUGGGCUGGAGGAGGAGGAAGAAGAGGACGUGGCAGCCUGUUUGGCAGAGCGGUGAGGAGACGAGGAUGAGUCCAAGUGCCGGUCGGAGAGCACGUUUAAUGUGCGCGUCUGCCUCAUAGUUCUGAAAUUCAUCGCCUGGUCACCAGCCAAUCACUAAGCACAUAGAGACAAACAGCCAUUCUCAACAUCCACACCGAUGGGGAAUUAGAGUCUUGAAUUAACCUAACAUGAAUGUUUUUGAAAUGGAAAAGGAAGCCAGAGCACUCGGAGACAACCCAUGCGAACGCGGACAAAAUGGAAGGCCAGAGCUGAGAUUCGAACCCUAAACUUCAGAACCGUGCCAGGUCCAAUGUAAAACAUAACUCCGAAUGGUCGCUGGUGUGCUGGAGCUUAUCUCAGCUGACUUUGGACGAGAGGUUCGGUACACCACAGGGCACAUAUAGACAAACAACCGUUCAUACGUCAGGACAAUUUAAAGUCUUCAAAUAAGCUAACAUGCAUGUUUUUAGAAUGCGGCAGGAAGUCGGAGUACCCAGAGAAAAGAACAUCCACACUGGAAGUCCUGCUGACACCUCACCUCCUAAGUGUCCAACGUUGCUCCUGCUCUUCUUGUUGCUCUUGGAGCUGCGUCUGGAGGAGGUGGUGGCCGAGCUGUGCUCACUGAGUGAAUCCUGAGCAGAGGAAGUACUUCCUGUGUUCUCGCUGCUGUCUCUCAGCAUGCUCUCGUAGCCGCUGCUGCCUCCACUGUGAUAGAACAAGGCCGUCUUCCCCAUGGCCGGGGGAAGCUCACCACUCAGUACGCUGCUGUUAAAACGCCAAAAGAAGAGCCUUGGUCAGAAAAUAGUGCAUAAAUGAUCCAAAAAAAAAAAAAGACACCACCAGUGAGCAUCUUUGGUGGCAACAAAAGCCUUAGUUCUGAUAUUAUGAAAGCAUUUUUGGUUGGUGUAGAUGUUUCACCGUUACUGAAGAAGCUGGAUUAAAGUUGGAACAGUCUUCAACAAUGAAGGAGUCCAGUUGCAUUCCAUUACCAUGACCUGGAUGACUGACAGUCUACAGUACAGACAGCUGUCCAAAUACCUGUUGUCGCUGGCGUGGCCACUGCUGCAGCGAUGUGGUUUUCGCGGAGCAGUGAUCUUGCUGUAAGGAGAGGGAAGGGUUUGGACCGCUGCUGCUCUUUCCUCCCCUGGGCCACCUCCAGCAACACCUGCACCCGGUGCCCCUCCGCUAUGAAGAAAAACGAAACAUUGGCCGAAGAUCUAUCUAUUAAUACUCAGAGAAAAUCUCGAUAGGGUAAAAAUGGCCAACCUUGCCCCUUCAGCCCCUUUCUCCUCUGCUGGAUUCACAGCUCCUCCCUGGGCAUGAUUCCUGGAACGUGAUCCGGCACUACCUUGGAGAAGCUCUGAGAUGCGGCCAUUGACUGCCCGCAGGGGUAGCUUGGCAGCCAAACUUCCCCCUCGACUGCGGCUCAGAGAUUGCGUAGACCAGGAUGCAGGAGAGGGUCCCUGCUGCUGCACAGGGCCCUGAAUGGUGGCCUGUGGCUGUGGAGGCAGAACAAAGAUAGAGAGUAGUUCAGAGGACAAAGGCGAAGCUCAACAAGCGAACAACAGUUUGCAUAACUGUUGUUGAUUACUACUGGCCACUUAAGUGCUUGAGGACUUUGCACUAUUUGCACAAUUGUCAUUGUAUCAGCAAUACCACAUUUAUUGGUACCUUUUCAUUGGACAAUGACUCCCCAUACUUGUGUUCUUAUGUCCUAAAUAUAUAUUUGUCAUAGCAGCUGUUUGUUGUCGUACUAGAGUGGCUCCAACUCCCGGAGUCAAAUUCCUUGUUUAUUUUCAAAUAUUUGUCUAACAAAGAUGAUUCUGAUUCUGAUCUGAGUUUAUAAACUACACUGGUACCUUGGGUUAUGAGUUCAAUUGGUUCUGUGACCAAGCUCAGAUCUCAGUUUACUUGUACAGUAAUCCCUUGUUUAUUGCAGGGGUUACAUUCCAGAACAUCCCCGCGCUAGUUGAAAUCCGUGAAGUGGUGACCAAAUAUAUAUAUUUUUGUAUUAUUUAUGUAUAUUUUAAAACUUUAUGCAUAUAAUCACGAAAUAUAUAUUCAUGUGAGGAGCAGGUAUUAUUUUCAUUCACUUGGGGUCGCCAUCCUCAAGUUCUACUGUACUGUAGUAUCUGUGACUAUCUGUAACUGAAUGUGUGUGGCUGUAAAUGGCGGGAUGUCGGACUCGGGAAAAGAGAGUGUAGACUCAUCAUGUGUGAAUAUCUGCUUGUGUUUAUUUUGUUACCUUUGUUCAAUAAAGCGAUUGAAAGUG